This 730-nucleotide ribosomal RNA is filed under the name Umbilicosphaera sibogae. Its description in RNAcentral is "bacterial SSU rRNA". It matches the Rfam family "Bacterial small subunit ribosomal RNA", at positions 529 to 1267 of the family's 1533-position model. Lineage: Eukaryota; Haptophyta; Coccolithales; Calcidiscaceae. The record is from RNAcentral.
GGGAUGCAAGCGUUAUCCGGAAUCAUUGGGCGUAAAGCGCCUGUAGGUUGCCUAAUAAGUCUGUUGUUAAAGACCAGGGCUUAACCCUGGGAAAGCAAUGGAAACUACUAGGCUUGAGUAUGGUAGGGGUAGAGGGAAUUUCUAGUGUAGCGGUGAAAUGCGUAGAUAUUAGAAAGAACACCGGUGGCGAAAGCGCUCUACUGGGCCAUUACUGACACUCAGAGGCGAAAGCUAGGGGAGCGAAAGGGAUUAGAUACCCCUGUAGUCCUAGCCGUAAACGAUGGAUACUAGGUGUUGUGUUUAUAUACAGUAUCGUAGCUAACGCGUUAAGUAUCCCGCCUGGGGAGUACGCUCGCAAGGGUGAAACUCAAAGGAAUUGACGGGGGCCCGCACAAGCGGUGGAGCAUGUGGUUUAAUUCGAUGCAACGCGAAGAACCUUACCAGGGCUUGACAUACUACAAAUCUUUUUGAGACGAAAGAGUGCCUUCGGGAAUGUAGAUACAGGUGGUGCAUGGCUGUCGUCAGCUCGUGUUCGUGAGAUGUUGGGUUAAGUCCCGCAACGAGCGCAACCCUCGUUUUUAGUUGCCAAUUUAUUGGGAUUUCUAAAGAGACUGCCGAUGAUAAAUCGGAGGAAGGUGAGGAUGACGUCAAGUCAGCAUGCCCCUUAUGUCCUGGGCCACACACGUGCUACAAUGGCAAAGACAAAGAGUCGCAAAUUCGCGAGAACUAG